UACGUAGGUGGCGAGCGUUGUCCGGAUUUAUUGGGGUUAAAGGGUGCGUAGGCGGCCCUAUAAGUCAGUGGUGAAAUAUCGCAGCUUAACUGUGAGGGUGCCAUUGAUACUGUAGGGCUUGAGUGAAUUUGAGGUAGGCGGAAUUGACGGUGUAGCGGUGAAAUGCUUAGAUAUCGUCAAGAACACCGAUAGUGAAGACAGCUUACCAAGCUUCAACUGACGCUGAGGCACGAAAGUGUGGGGAUCAAACAGG
Molecule: ribosomal RNA, 253 nt
Filed under: uncultured bacterium
Lineage: Bacteria
Description: partial 16S ribosomal RNA
Rfam family: Bacterial small subunit ribosomal RNA
Source: RNAcentral